Molecule: ribosomal RNA, 253 nt
Filed under: uncultured bacterium
Lineage: Bacteria
Description: partial 16S ribosomal RNA
Rfam family: Bacterial small subunit ribosomal RNA
Source: RNAcentral
UACGGAGGAUGCAAGCGUUAUCCGGAAUGAUUGGGCGUAAAGCGUCCGCAGGUGGCUAUGUAAGUCUGCUGUUAAAGAGUGAGGCUCAACCUCAUAAGAGCAGUGGAAACUACAUGGCUAGAGUGCGUUCGGGGCAGAGGGAAUUCCUGGUGUAGCGGUGAAAUGCGUAGAGAUCAGGAAGAACACCGGUGGCGAAAGCGCUCUGCUAGGCCGCAACUGACACUGAGGGACGAAAGCUAGGGGAGCGAAAGGG